RNAcentral lists this transfer RNA (84 nucleotides) under bovine gut metagenome. It matches the Rfam family "tRNA". From Rfam's summary of the family: Transfer RNA (tRNA) molecules are approximately 80 nucleotides in length. Their secondary structure includes four short double-helical elements and three loops (D, anti-codon, and T loops). The record is from RNAcentral.
GUGAGGUGGCUGAGUGGCUGAAAGCGCAUGACUCGAAAUCAUGUUUAGGGCUUGCUCUAACGUGGGUUCAAAUCCCACCCUCAC